Molecule: ribosomal RNA, 451 nt
Filed under: uncultured bacterium
Lineage: Bacteria
Description: partial 16S ribosomal RNA
Rfam family: Bacterial small subunit ribosomal RNA
Source: RNAcentral
GUGGGGAAUAUUGGACAAUGGGGGGAACCCUGAUCCAGCCAUGUCGCGUGUGUGAAGAAGGCCUUUUGGUUGUAAAGCACUUUAAGCGAGGAGGAGGCUACCGAGAUUAAUACUCUUGGAUAGUGGACGUUACUCGCAGAAUAAGCACCGGCUAACUCUGUGCCAGCAGCCGCGGUAAUACAGAGGGUGCAAGCGUUAAUCGGAUUUACUGGGCGUAAAGCGCGCGUAGGUGGCCAAUUAAGUCAAAUGUGAAAUCCCCGAGCUUAACUUGGGAAUUGCAUUCGAUACUGGUUGGCUAGAGUAUGGGAGAGGAUGGUAGAAUUCCAGGUGUAGCGGUGAAAUGCGUAGAGAUCUGGAGGAAUACCGAUGGCGAAGGCAGCCAUCUGGCCUAAUACUGACACUGAGGUGCGAAAGCAUGGGGAGCAAACAGGAUUAGAAACCCGAGUAGUCC